AUGGUCUUUACUGGAAGUACAUUUAAAGGCGGAAAUUCAGAGCGUGUCUUAUAGUAAGAUAGAUUCGUUAGAUAUCGCUGAAGAUGCGGGUUCGUUAUUAUACGGUGCUGCGAGUCUUCCUCUGUAGAGUGACGUAUUUCAGUUAGAUGAGCGUCAUUUGCGAUUAUAUACUCAGUUCCUGUUUGUAGCAUUAGCCAGCUUUAACUAAUAGCUCCGCUGUGAUGGAUCAAUGUGCAGAGCAAGACGGCGAUCCGGUCCAGACUAGGCGCAGUAAGACUCUCAUCAUACGGCACCUUCCUUCGGAGUUGAAUCGUGACGAAAAAGAGGAUUUGCUGAGAUACUUUGGGGCGGUGUCAGUGAGAGCCUUCUCCGAUAGGGGAUUGCUGAAACACACCGCCUUUGCCAGCUUUGCCAGCGAGAAGUCCGCAGCCAAGGCUCUAGGCAGGCUCCACCAGCUGAAAAUCCUGAAUCACACGCUGGUCGUGGAGUUUGCGAAGGACCAGGACGCCGUCACCGUGCUGAAGAACCCCCCAGUUUCAGACAGCUUAACUAAGGAGAAGGAUGUGAAGAAGAAAGACGGACAGCAGCCCAGCGCUCCGUUAAUAGAAACCGGAGCAGCCCCCAGCCUUGGGCUGAAAUUCCAGGUGAAUCCCUCACUGAAGUAUCUGUACCCACCUCCAUCAGGCAGGAUUCUGACUAACAUCACACACGCCCUCAUCAGUGUGCCCAAGUUUUAUGUCCAAGUUCUUCACCUGAUGAACAAGAUGAAUCUACCGUGUCCUUUUGGAGCCAUAACCGCCGCCCCCCCUCUGUAUGAGAGCGUCCCUGUGCAGCCGCCGCCCAUGCCCCCACUGCCCCCCGAGUACCCUCCCUUGCCGGAGGAGGAGAUGGAGUUUUCCAGUGAGGAGGAGUCCGAGUAUGAGAGUGAGGAUGGGGAGGAGAAGGAGAGGAUGGUCAGGAUGAUGGGCAUCGUGAACCAGCAGUGCAAACGGCUCCUGAGGACGAAACGAUCUUCCACGAGGAAGAAACCCAAGCUGAAGGACCUCCUGUUUGCACCCAAAGCGGACGCACCCAGUGGCCACGCCCCCGCUCUGCAGCCCUCGGACGUGUUUGAGCAGGCUCAGGCCCUCAACCAGAAGAAGAUCGAGUUCCACAUCUCUGCUGAUGUUUCGGAGCUCCUGGACAGAGGAGCUGCGGCCCCGGCAGAGGAGCCCAAGGGGCCCGAAGUUGUUGUGGAAGAGGAGACCUUGACCUUGGAGCAGCCGGCUGAUGGUUUCGGGAAGAUCUACCCAGUGGCCCAAGUGGCGAAGGUGGAGGAGGACAGCGACGAGGACACUGAGAUCCCCUCCGAGUUCAUCUCCAGGAGAGAGCUGGAGAAAGGCAGACUCACCAAAGACGAGAUUAAGAGAAUGUCCGUAUUCAAAAACUAUGAGCCUGGAGAUCCAACAUGUCGGCUGUACGUGAAGAACAUAGCGAAGCAGGUCGAGGAGAAGGACCUGAGGUACAUCUAUGGAAGAUAUGUGGAUAUGUCCUCGGAGACGGAGAGGAACAUGUUUGAUGUGGUGCUGAUGAAGGAGGGCAGGAUGAAAGGGCAGGCGUUCAUCGGGCUGCCCAGCGAGACGAGCGCAGCGAAAGCCCUGAGGGACACCAACGGAUUCGUGCUGCAGGACAAGCCCCUCAUUGUUCAAUUUGCCAGGUCAGCCAGGCCGAAAGAGGCUCCUGGGGAUCUGAGCAAGACCCAGAAACGGCGAUGAGCAGGUGAGGAGGAAAUAAAGGAUCUGCGUUUCGUAUGGUGUCAGCAGCUGGCCCGUGCCGCGUCCCACGGAGUGCGUGGGGCUUCACUGAUCCUGGGUCAGCUCACUUGACCAUAUAUUAAUGCCAAGUUACAGCCCUCUAUUGUGGCUCAGCAGGACACUGUAUCCUUCUGAGAUGACAUAUCCUUUCAAAGGGCUUUUUCUACUAUCUACAAAAUUCUGAUGAUCUUAGUUCAUGUAAUGUAACUUCCCAUGCCAUAGAAGUGAGCUUUUCAGUGUCUGAAUGCUGUUGGAAAUUUUAGCCGUGUGUGUGUGUGUGUGUGUGUGUGUGUUGUUGUUGUUCUGCUUAUGUGAUCAGAAACGUGUGUGAUGAAGAGGCAUCUCGUAUUGGAGCAUACGCAUGCGCACACACAUGCUUGCACACUCGCUCCUGCAUUUGUGCUCCAUCUUUAAUCUGCCUCAUCUCUCCCGUUCAGCUUGUUCUGCGACGACCCUGUGAAGACAGCAGCUAGAGAUGUAAAGUUUUUGUUCUUAAAUAAACCUGGUUUUCCCGA
Molecule: RNA transcript, 2308 nt
Organism: Brienomyrus brachyistius
Lineage: Eukaryota; Metazoa; Chordata; Actinopteri; Osteoglossiformes; Mormyridae
Gene: rnpc3
Gene name: RNA-binding region (RNP1, RRM) containing 3
Exons: 15
Source: RefSeq, a predicted model, not a curated record